GAACGAGAAAGUGGAGCAAUCCAUGAGUACAGUGGCGACCGGGUGAGUAACACGUGACUACCUACCUCCGAGUGGGGAAUAACUCCGGGAAACCGGGGCUAAUACCGCAUAAUGUCUUCGGACCAAAGGAGCAAUUCGCUGGAAGAGGGGGUCGCGGCCGAUUAGCUAGUUGGUGGGGUAACGGGCCACCAAGGCAAUGAUCGGUAGCCGGCCUGAGAGGGCGCACGGCCACACUGGAACUGAAACACGGUCCAGACUCCUACGGGAGGCAGCAGUGGGGAAUUUUGCGCAAUGGGGGAAACCCUGACGCAGCAACGCCGCGUGGAGGAUGAAGCCCCUUGGGGUGUAAACUCCUUUCGAUCGGGACGAUAAUGACGGUACCGGAUGAAGAAGCACCGGCUAACUCUGUG
Molecule: ribosomal RNA, 410 nt
Filed under: uncultured bacterium
Lineage: Bacteria
Description: bacterial SSU rRNA
Rfam family: Bacterial small subunit ribosomal RNA
Source: RNAcentral